AGUGAACGCUGGCGGUAGGCCUAACACAUGCAAGUCGAACGGCAGCACAGUAAGAGCUUGCUCUUACGGGUGGCGAGUGGCGGACGGGUGAGGAAUACAUCGGAAUCUACUUUUUCGUGGGGGAUAACGUAGGGAAACUUACGCUAAUACCGCAUACGACCUACGGGUGAAAGCAGGGGAUCUUCGGACCUUGCGCGAUUGAAUGAGCCGAUGUCGGAUUAGCUAGUUGGCUGGGUAAAGGCCCACCAAGGCGACGAUCCGUAGCUGGUCUGAGAGGAUGAUCAGCCACACUGGAACUGAGACACGGUCCAGACUCCUACGGGAGGCAGCAGUGGGGAAUAUUGGACAAUGGGCGCAAGCCUGAUCCAGCCAUACCGCGUGGGUGAAGAAGGCCUUCGGGUUGUAAAGCCCUUUUGUUAGGAAAGAAAAGCAGCAGGUUAAUACCCCGCUGUUCUGACGGUACCCAAAGAAUAAGCACCGGCUAACUUCGUG
RNAcentral lists this ribosomal RNA (492 nucleotides) under uncultured bacterium. RNAcentral describes it as "partial 16S ribosomal RNA". It matches the Rfam family "Bacterial small subunit ribosomal RNA", at positions 29 to 507 of the family's 1533-position model. The record is from RNAcentral.